This 674-nucleotide long non-coding RNA is filed under the name Monodelphis domestica (gray short-tailed opossum). RNAcentral's name for it is "lncRNA (ENSMODG00000046963.1)". Lineage: Eukaryota; Metazoa; Chordata; Mammalia; Didelphimorphia; Didelphidae. The record is from RNAcentral.
GGGAGGAGGUGGAGGGGCGGGGAAAGAGGGAGGAGAAAGCAACAGAGAGGAAGAUGCUAUAGACAAGGAUUCUUCUAGGGGAAACCGAGGCCGACCACUCCAUGAAAAACGACGUUGCUCCUUCCCUUCUUUGCGGAGUUGGGGGCUGAAGACAUGGAUCGCUGUAUCCCAUUCUCAUUUGACAGAUGAGAAAAAUGGAGGCCAACAGGAUGAAGUGACACACAGCAAGUAAGUAUCUGAGAUUGCUUUUGAACUCAGGUCUCCCCAAAUCUAGGUUUGGCAUUCUAUCUACCCUGUACCCAGCUGCCCCCUGAAGGCAGAGGAUCUGGGUUCAGCUACACCCCCUGAUAUUUCCUACUUCUGUGUUCUUAGGUAAGUCACCUAACUUACCUGUGCUUAAUUUUUCCAGUAAAUCAGCUUGCUUUCUUUUGAUUCACUGUGCCCCUUUCCUUUUAACGUCUCAAAAGUUCUGAAUUUGCCCACCCCUCCUUACCUGUACUCACAGGGGGUCUGCAGCACCCUGGGUGGGAUCCUAACUGUCCAAAUUUGGAGAUAGCCUUUUGUUCUGGGGGAGCUUUUUUAUAUCUGGGGAGAGGGGCUUACCUAGGCAGUUGCUGUGGGGUGGGUCAGUUGCUGUGGGUCAUCCCACAGGGGAUGGGGUCUUGGAGGUGGGA